This 253-nucleotide ribosomal RNA is filed under the name uncultured bacterium. RNAcentral describes it as "partial 16S ribosomal RNA". It matches the Rfam family "Bacterial small subunit ribosomal RNA", at positions 524 to 776 of the family's 1533-position model. The record is from RNAcentral.
UACGGGGGGGGCAAGCGUUGUUCGGAAUUACUGGGCGUAAAGGGCUCGUAGGCGGCCAACUAAGUCAGACGUGAAAUCCCUCGGCUUAACCGGGGAACUGCGUCUGAUACUGGAUGGCUUGAGUUUGGGAGAGGGAUGCGGAAUUCCAGGUGUAGCGGUGAAAUGCGUAGAUAUUCGGAGGAACACCAGAAGCGAAGGCGGCCAACUGGCCCGAUACUGACGCUGAGGCGCGAAAGCGUGGGGAGCAAACAGG